Molecule: long non-coding RNA, 994 nt
Organism: Biomphalaria glabrata
Lineage: Eukaryota; Metazoa; Mollusca; Gastropoda; Planorbidae
Exons: 2
Source: RefSeq, a predicted model, not a curated record
GAAAUGGGACACUUGAUGGAUGACAAAACAAAUCCAAGAGAAUUCUUUCACAAACCUGCAGAUCAAUUGAAACAGUACUUUCAUCAAAGAAUAUUCAAAAUGAAGUAGAAAUAUAAGUAAUGUUUUUAAUAUUAAAAGUUUAAUACAGACAGGUUUGGAAGCAAAUUAACUUUUUCUCUCCGUAAUUAUUUUUCCACGUUUUGAAGGAAUUCUUCAUUUGGCUCAUUACUAUUUCACUACCCUGUUAUGAUUGGGCUUCAAAAGCUUUGUUGUUUGUUAUCAAAAAAUGUUGUAUUUGGUAUAGAAUUAAAUGGGAAUGCAUGCUUUUUUAUAUAAUUCAAAGUCAAAUUAAAAAAAAUUAAUCAUUAAUUAAAUUUAAUGAUGUCAAAAUCAACGAUGGUAUCAUCGAUUAGGAGAGAAAGAGUUAAAUUAUUUCUGAUUUUGUCAAUAAAAUGUCUGUUUAUAGGAAAGUCUGUGUGUGUUUGUAUUCACUUCAGCCAUAGGAUAAUAAACUGAGGGAACACUGGAGAAGUUCAAAUAGAAUACAGCAUUUCAAUGCUAGUUUAGGAUUCAUUUUUAAUGAGGUUUAAAAAAAAAAGUAUGAAUGUAAACUAUUGUUCAUAAUAUUGUUGUGUUACAGGUAUUACCCUAUCCUAAGUCACAACUAAUACAUUCCAGCUGUAGAUGCUGUAUCAAAAAUGAUCUAUUGAUAUAUAAAUUUACCUUGGUACUGAAGAAAGUUCUGGAAUGUGACACUGUAGAUGGAAAACCCUUGGGCACCUGUCACAGCACAAAACAUCUCCACCAUUGUGGCAGCAAGCACAGUAAUCAUCAUUAGGAUCUCCCUGGUUGUCUGCCUGUGACAAGGAGAAACCUGGCAUCAUGUUACCACCUUGCCAGGUAUCCCUCAGCUCUUGGUCUGUCGGAGAAUGUGGCGCUAUACAAACAUACAAUUACAGUGUCAAUAUUUUUUCGCAAAAAUAAAAAAUAAAAA